UACGUAGGGUGCAAGCGUUGUCCGGACUUAUUGGGCGUAAAGCGCGUGUAGGCGGCUUUGCAAGUCGGGUGUGAAAGCCCUCAGCUCAACUGAGGAAGUGCGCCCGAAACUGCAGAGCUUGAGUGCCGGAGAGGGUGGCGGAAUUCCCCAAGUAGAGGUGAAAUUCGUAGAUAUGGGGAGGAACACCGGUGGCGAAGGCGGCCACCUGGACGGUAACUGACGCUGAGACGCGAAAGCGUGGGGAGCAAACAGG
Molecule: ribosomal RNA, 253 nt
Filed under: uncultured bacterium
Lineage: Bacteria
Description: partial 16S ribosomal RNA
Rfam family: Bacterial small subunit ribosomal RNA
Source: RNAcentral